Molecule: ribosomal RNA, 492 nt
Filed under: uncultured bacterium
Lineage: Bacteria
Description: partial 16S ribosomal RNA
Rfam family: Bacterial small subunit ribosomal RNA
Source: RNAcentral
AGUGAACGCUGGCGGUAGGCCUAACACAUGCAAGUCGAACGGCAGCACAGUAAGAGCUUGCUCUUACGGGUGGCGAGUGGCGGACGGGUGAGGAGUACAUCGGAAUCUACUUUUUCGUGGGGGAUAACGUAGGGAAACUUACGCUAAUACCGCAUACGACCUACGGGUGAAAGCAGGGGAUCUUCGGGCCUUGCGCGGUUGAAUGAGCCGAUGUCGGAUUAGCUAGUUGGCGGGGUAAAGGCCCACCAAGUCGACGAUCCGUAGCUGGUCUGAGAGGAUGAUCAGCCACACGGGAGCUGAGACACGGUCCAGACUCCUACGGGAGGCAGCAGUGGGGAAUAGUGGACAAUGGGCGCAAGCCUGAUACAGCCAUACCGCGUGGGUGAAGAAGGCCUUCGGGUUGUAAAGCCCGUUUGUGGGGAAAGAAAAGCAGCAGGUUAAUACCCCGCUGUUCUGACGGUACCCAAAGAAUAAGCACCGGCUAACUUCGUG